Molecule: small RNA, 96 nt
Filed under: Xenorhabdus vietnamensis
Lineage: Bacteria; Pseudomonadati; Pseudomonadota; Gammaproteobacteria; Enterobacterales; Morganellaceae
Description: HPnc0260
Source: RNAcentral
UCUAACCAACUGAGCUACGGACGCACAUAAAAUAAUUUUCUCUAUUAACCAUAAAUUUGGUGCGUCCGAGUGGACUCGAACCACCGACCCCCACCA